GAAAUGCGAUAAGUAGUGUGAAUUGCAGAAUUCAGUGAAUCAUCGAAUCUUUGAACGCACAUUGCGCCCCUUGGUAUUCCAUGGGGCAUGCCUGUUCGAGCGUCAUCUACACCCUCAAGCUCUGCUUGGUGUUGGGCGUCUGUUCCGCCUCCGCGCGGGACUCGCCCCAAAGGCAUUGGCAGCGGUCUCUUGCACCUCUCGCGCAGCACAUUGCGCUUCUCGAGGCGAGGCAGGCCGCGACCACGAAGCCACACAUCGUCUUUGACCUCGGAUCAGGUAGGGAUACCCGCUGAACUUAA
This 299-nucleotide unclassified non-coding RNA is filed under the name uncultured Pleosporales. RNAcentral describes it as "sequence contains ITS1". The stretch from base 1 to 105 matches the Rfam family "5.8S ribosomal RNA", at positions 50 to 154 of the family's 154-position model. The record is from RNAcentral. Lineage: Eukaryota; Fungi; Ascomycota; Dothideomycetes; Pleosporales.